AAGAAAUCUAUUGAAAAUUAACAUUAUUAAAAGAGGGUAUAUUUGUCAUUUGUUUUUUGGACUAAAUCAUCUUCAUCCAAAUGGGUCUACCAAGUCCAUCCAAAUGAGUUUCACAAAUUAGCCUAAAUUUAUAAAGUCAUUCAGAUGGAACAUUCAAAUGAUUCAUCCAAAUGAUCUGUUAAUUUGUCAAAAACAAACAUCAUUUUUCAUCUCCAUCCAGAUAAAUCAUCUGGAUGGAGAAACAAACAGGACCUUAGGCAUGUGAGUUUCUGAUGUAGAAAUUGGUGCAACUCUUGAUGUAUCAUAUAAAAUGCAUAAAAAAAAAUUCAAAAUACUAAAAUGCCCUGAUUGUUACUAAA
Molecule: small RNA, 359 nt
Filed under: Arabidopsis thaliana (thale cress)
Lineage: Eukaryota; Viridiplantae; Streptophyta; Magnoliopsida; Brassicales; Brassicaceae
Description: ATSL294780
Source: RNAcentral